GAUGAAGAACGUAGCGAAAUGCGAUAAGUAGUGUGAAUUGCAGAAUUCAGUGAAUCAUCGAAUCUUUGAACGCACAUUGCGCCCUUUGGUAUUCCUUAGGGCAUGCCUGUUCGAGCGUCAUUUGAAACCUCAAGCUCAGCUUGGUGUUGGGUGUCUGUCCCCGCCUCACCGCGGGGACUCGCCUCAAAAUCAUUGGCGGCCGGUACGUUGGCUUCGAGCGCAGCAGAAACGCGAACUCGAGGCCCGGCGGAUCGGCGACCAGAAGUCACUUCUUCACAGUUUGACCUCGGAUCAGGUAGGGAUACCCGCUGAACUUAAGCAUAUCAAUAAGCGGAGGA
RNAcentral lists this unclassified non-coding RNA (338 nucleotides) under soil metagenome. RNAcentral's name for it is "partial contains 5.8S ribosomal RNA, internal transcribed spacer 2, and large subunit ribosomal RNA". The stretch from base 1 to 120 matches the Rfam family "5.8S ribosomal RNA", at positions 35 to 154 of the family's 154-position model. The record is from RNAcentral.